Molecule: ribosomal RNA, 440 nt
Filed under: uncultured bacterium
Lineage: Bacteria
Description: partial 16S ribosomal RNA
Rfam family: Bacterial small subunit ribosomal RNA
Source: RNAcentral
CCUACGGGAGGCAGCAGUGAGGAAUAUUGGGCAAUGGGGGCAACCCUGACCCAGCCAUGCCGCGUGAGUGAAGAAGGUCUUCGGAGUGUAAAGCUCUUUCGGACGUGACGAGGAUGACGGUAGCGGCGAAAGAAGCACCGGCAAACUUCGUGCCAGCAGCCGCGGUAAUACGAAGGGGGCGAGCGUUGUUCGGAAUUACUGGGCGGAAAGGGAGUGUAGGCGGAUAUGUAAGAUAGCGGUGAAAUGCCGGGGCUCAACCCCGGAACUGCCAUUCUGACUAUGUAUCUAGAGUAAUGGAGAGGAUAGCGGAAUCCCCAGUGUAGCGGUGAACUUCGUAGAUAUUGGGUAGAACCCCGGUGGCGACGGCGGCUCUCUGGCCCUUUACUGACGCUGAGGCUCGAAAGCCUGGGGAUCAAACAGGAUUAGAUACCCGGGUAGUC